AUCCAAGCUGAUUCGCUCUCCAGGGGGCCUGCUCAUGCCUCUCUUCAGGAAAGCAGCAACUUGGAAGAAAAUCUGGCAUGCCUGAGGUUGCUGGGGGAGAGGGCAUGUCUGUUUCCUUUGACUUCCUUUGGCUGCCUACACUC
This is a small nucleolar RNA of Mustela putorius furo (domestic ferret), 143 nucleotides long. The record is from Ensembl. Lineage: Eukaryota; Metazoa; Chordata; Mammalia; Carnivora; Mustelidae.